UCAAAGAUAUUUGGGAAAAGUAUAUAAAACGAAAAAGGAAAAAGAGGGAAAAGCACGAGGCAAUAAAUCAGUCCUUGAGUUAGAAGAACAAGAAAUCUCUGAAGCCUGGAUCGCCGUUGACCAGUUACUAGUAAUUCCCUCUCUCUCUCACGUUAGAUUUGUGAGCUCUGUCAAAUGGAGAAGGAUCAGAAGGUUGCAUCGGAAGAAGACCCCAAGAUCGAUCUGUUCGAAGACGACGACGAGUUCGAGGAAUUCAACAUCAAUGAAGAGUGGGAUGAGAAGGAAGAAGAGAUAGAUUCAACACCACAACAAUGGGAGGAUGAUUGGGAUGAUGAUGAUGUCAACGAUGAUUUCUCUCUGCAGCUGAAGACGGAACUCGAGAGCAACGCUGAGAAGAGCUAAGUUCAUGUCUCUUUGGCUUCCUUCCUAAUGAACUUCAUGAUCGUAGUGAUUCGGUAUAACCUAGUAUGCCUGUGAUUUGGUGGGUAGCCAAGCCCUUUCAUUAGAGUAUCGAAAACUGCAGUAUUUACCGUUCUUGUUAAAAGAUAAUCGACUUGCAAGAUUUCAGUAACUCGUUAUGUUCGGAAUCAUGAAGAGUGAUGAGCACCACUUAACUAUAUUCUUCUCGCGAUUAUCGUUCUGUAUUUGAAUGUGGUCUGUUUCUUCCCUUUGAAGUUUAUGUAUGAGUCAGUAGUUAAGAAAUUUAUAGGCUUCGACGUCUAACGUGUUCUAGGACGAAGCUUCUAACUGUAUGCAUCACUUUCAUGGCUAUCUCUG
This 777-nucleotide small RNA is filed under the name Malus domestica (apple). Its description in RNAcentral is "sRNA MD09G0031000". The record is from RNAcentral. Lineage: Eukaryota; Viridiplantae; Streptophyta; Magnoliopsida; Rosales; Rosaceae.